This 244-nucleotide ribosomal RNA is filed under the name uncultured Staphylococcus sp. Its description in RNAcentral is "partial 16S ribosomal RNA". It matches the Rfam family "Bacterial small subunit ribosomal RNA", at positions 96 to 334 of the family's 1533-position model. The record is from RNAcentral. Lineage: Bacteria; Bacillati; Bacillota; Bacilli; Caryophanales; Staphylococcaceae.
CGGCGGACGGGUGAGUAACACGUGGAUAACCUACCUAUAUGACUGGGAUAACUUCGGGAAACCGGAGCUAAUACCGGAUAAUAUAUUGAACCGCAUGGUUCAAUAGUGAAAGACGGUUUUGCUGUCACUUAUAGAUGGAUCCGCGCCGCAUUAGCUAGUUGGUAAGGUAACGGCUUACCAAGGCGACGAUGCGUAGCCGACCCGAGAGGGUGAUCGGCCACACUGGAACUGAGACACGGUCCAG